UUUAAACUGUAAUUCAGGGAUAGGAUAUGGCUGAGUGGCAGAGUGCUUGGCUACUACAGAGGCCCUGAGUUUUAUUUCCAGCACUGGGGGAGAAAAAAGCAAUGAAAAAAAAAAUCAACCAAUGAAGCAAACAACAACAACCAAAAAAACUCCUUUGAUUCUUAAGUUUAACGUUUCUACUAGUUCAGCCACUAUUUCCCCCAAAGGUCAAUACUUUGGAUUCUGCCUGGAUUCUUGAAAGUUCAGACCUGAGCCACAUGUGGUUUCAGAACCAUACUAAUCCCUACAAAUCCUUAAGGUCUUUUCUUGAGCCAUGACUGGUGAGCACAAUAGUAGCAACAACUAUCUAACAUACAUAUUAGAUGCUCGCCAUCUCAGCAUGCUGUUAGGUCUGUGCUAAGAACUUUACAUGGAUUAUGUGGCGGUUCAUUUUAGAUGCCAGCUUGACUCUGUUAAGGGAUCCCUGGACAGCUGGUAAAGCAUUAUUUCUGGGUGUGUCCGGGAGGCUAUUUCCAGAGGAGAUUGGCAAAUGAGUCAGUGGACUGGGUUGGGAAGAUCUGCCUUCAGUGUGGGUGGUCACCAUCUGAUUGUCUGGGUGCGCAGGUGGAAAAAAAAGUAGAGCAGGCAAAUUUGUGCUCUCUCUCCUGGAGCUGAGACACCCUUCUUUUACCCUUAGACAUCAGAACUCCAUGUUUUCUGGCCCAUAGAUUCUAACACUUUCACCAGCAGUCCCAGUUCUCAGAACUUUGACCUCUGACAGGAAAUUAUACUAUUGACUUCCUUGGUUCUGAGGCCUUUGAACUUGGACUGUGCCUUGGUCUUAGUUUUCCUGAUAGUCCAGCUUGCAGAUGGCUAUCUCAGCCGCUGUCAUCAUGUGGGGCAGUUCUCCACAUAACUCUUCUCCUAUGGGUCUAUCUGCCUAUUUAUAGAUGGGUAGGUAGAUACCUACCUACCUAGAGACUUGCAUAUACUAGUUAAGUUCUCUACCACUGAACUACACCCCCAGCCCUAGUUCUGUUUCUCUGGAGAACCUAAUACAGAUUAUAUCAUUUCAUUUAAGAGCAGAUUGCACCUUAUGAAAAGGAAAUAUUUACUGAAGACAUGGGAUAAUUCAACACUUAGAUGAUUUAACACCAUAAUUUCCAGAAAAAUAGCUGUAAGAGAUAGAAAGCAGAACCUUUAACCACUGUGGAAUAUUUUAGUCUCCAUGCUAUUUUUUUAUUUACUAAACAUUAAACAGAGUAGAUGUUCCCAAAUUAAUUGCUUGGCAUAUCAUGAUAACUAUUUGGGCUUUUCCAUAGUGUUUUGUCAUAUCUAAACUCUAUUACAAAGUUAUUGAUUUUGGAGAGUGUUUUUGGCACCAACACCAUCGCGUAAUGAACUUUGAGAUAACAUCAUUCCAGGAUACAGAUAAUAUUUUAAGUGAUAAUGCUGAAUGUUAAUAUCACAGCACAUUAGUCAUUAAUGUCACUAUCAGAAGUUAUGAUGCACAUAAACAACAACUCGAUUCACAUAAGAUAAGCACUGAUGGCAGUUAUUUACUGUUGGCAGCUCAAGUGGCACUGUCAUUAGCAAUAAUUAGAAAUACAAUUUAUGAGCCCCUGAGCCAGCCAAGUUUGAAAUUAUGUAAAUUUUGGUGAUUUCUUUUUUCUUAUUUUAGGUAGAUUUGUAAUCUUUCAAAUUUGUAUAAUUAAAAUUUACAUAAUAUACAAUAGCAAAACACCAUUUUUAAUCCCUUUUUAUAAAUGAAAAUAUGAAGCCUAGGGAGCAGUUAAUCUAAUCUGCUUAUUUAAGGUCUCAUAGUUAAUAAUUGGAGUUAGGAGUAUACCCCAGCGUCUGGCUCCAGAACCGCGCUCAGUACUCAAGAAUUCAUUUCUCACAAGGUAAUUUUAUCUCAGAGAACAUAUUGAUAUCCCUUGUCCUAAGCCUUGGUUGAAAUUACAUUCAUCUCUUCCACCAAAUUUGCCAUAAUUUUGAACCUUAGGAAGACAUGUUGGGAAAAUAUGAAUUCUCCUUAUCCCAGAAAAACCUGAUGUAAACUGAGACACCUCCUCCCUCCAGGGACCUCAAGUGACAGCUUCCAUAGAAGCACAUAGACCUCUAUUCUUCCCUCUCAGAACAGGGGCGCCCACCAUCUGCAUGCCUCAGAGGGACUAGUCAAGUGAAUUCUGAAACUGAGAGUUGGCUUCAGGUGGCACAGAUCAAAGUCUAGCAUUUCAGUCACCCUCUCAUUUCAUACUCUAUCCAGCCUUUGUCUUGACUAGCAAUUUAACACAUGUAUCCUUGUACAUAUAUAAGCACAGGAAACAUACAUACAUAUAUACACAUUCACAUGCACUGAUAGAAGAGACACAGAUAUAUGCACAUAUUCAUACUCACACCCUUGUACAAAAUUGCACAAGCUCUAUCCUCUGAAAAUCUGUGCCAGAAUGAGGGAGGAAGACUUUACUUCCUAACCCCAGCCCUACUCCCUGGGGAGAGCCUCCUGGGUGUGGGGGACCAGGGAACAGAUCCCAGGCUGAGAGUCACAGAACUUAUUAUCACUAAUUACAAGCCUUAAAAUAGGCUCAUCCAUCAUCCUGGAGUGACCACUGGUCCUUCAGCCCGCCUCCUGGACUCCUGAUCCCCUCCCCCAUUCCAGUCUAUUUAUCCUUGAAUGACCAUAGAUCUGCUCCACAGAGUGAAAAAAAAUAAAUAAAUUUAUACAAUACUCAGUCCUUUCCAAAAACAUAAAUAUGGGCAUGCCCCAGCUCAGAUAUUAGCCUUCUGCUCUUUUUUCUACACCCUGGAGAGUUCGUGUGGAUCUGUCCCCCUUCACCACCCCCCAACCCGUGCAAAACUCCCUUUCAAUUAUGCUUUCAUAUGUGCCCCAUUCUGGGUUUCAUUUUCAGUAUUUCAUAGAAGUUUUGCAAUAAUCCUGUGGCUUGGAAUUGUUUUGCCAUGUUUACAAAUGAAAAGAAGUUUCUAAGAAUCAUUUGCCCAGGGUCACCCAUCUGACUAGAGCAUUCAAACGAGGACCUGCCAGUGGCAUAUCCUUCUCACACUGCACUGGACCUUCUGUGCAAGGGACUUCCCAAAUCAGCUGUCAGGAUUGAAG
RNAcentral lists this long non-coding RNA (3097 nucleotides) under Marmota monax (woodchuck). Lineage: Eukaryota; Metazoa; Chordata; Mammalia; Rodentia; Sciuridae. The record is from RNAcentral.